RNAcentral lists this unclassified non-coding RNA (247 nucleotides) under Hevea brasiliensis (rubber tree). Lineage: Eukaryota; Viridiplantae; Streptophyta; Magnoliopsida; Malpighiales; Euphorbiaceae. The record is from RNAcentral.
GAGGAAAUACGGGCAAAAGCCGAUCAAGGGUUCAAAAUACCCAAGGGGUUAUUACAAGUGUAGCAGCUUACGUGGAUGUCCAGCAAGGAAACACGUGGAGCGCGCGAUGGACGAUCCAACGAUGCUGAUUGUGACUUAUGAAGAUGAACAUUGUCAUAAUCCAGUUGCUGCGAUGCAUGGGAACAGUUCUCAAAUGGUGAAUUUUGGGUUAAUGGAAAAGAAGUAGGGGGUGAAAUGAAGAUAGAGG